RNAcentral lists this ribosomal RNA (1583 nucleotides) under Escherichia coli. RNAcentral describes it as "partial 23S ribosomal RNA". It matches the Rfam family "Bacterial large subunit ribosomal RNA", at positions 1252 to 2818 of the family's 2925-position model. The record is from RNAcentral. Lineage: Bacteria; Pseudomonadati; Pseudomonadota; Gammaproteobacteria; Enterobacterales; Enterobacteriaceae. RNAcentral also lists the same sequence under 1 other name.
GAAGGUGUGCUGUGAGGCAUGCUGGAGGUAUCAGAAGUGCGAAUGCUGACAUAAGUAACGAUAAAGCGGGUGAAAAGCCCGCUCGCCGGAAGACCAAGGGUUCCUGUCCAACGUUAAUCGGGGCAGGGUGAGUCGACCCCUAAGGCGAGGCCGAAAGGCGUAGUCGAUGGGAAACAGGUUAAUAUUCCUGUACUUGGUGUUACUGCGAAGGGGGGACGGAGAAGGCUAUGUUGGCCGGGCGACGGUUGUCCCGGUUUAAGCGUGUAGGCUGGUUUUCCAGGCAAAUCCGGAAAAUCAAGGCUGAGGCGUGAUGACGAGGCACUACGGUGCUGAAGCAACAAAUGCCCUGCUUCCAGGAAAAGCCUCUAAGCAUCAGGUAACAUCAAAUCGUACCCCAAACCGACACAGGUGGUCAGGUAGAGAAUACCAAGGCGCUUGAGAGAACUCGGGUGAAGGAACUAGGCAAAAUGGUGCCGUAACUUCGGGAGAAGGCACGCUGAUAUGUAGGUGAAGUCCCUCGCGGAUGGAGCUGAAAUCAGUCGAAGAUACCAGCUGGCUGCAACUGUUUAUUAAAAACACAGCACUGUGCAAACACGAAAGUGGACGUAUACGGUGUGACGCCUGCCCGGUGCCGGAAGGUUAAUUGAUGGGGUUAGCCGCAAGGCGAAGCUCUUGAUCGAAGCCCCGGUAAACGGCGGCCGUAACUAUAACGGUCCUAAGGUAGCGAAAUUCCUUGUCGGGUAAGUUCCGACCUGCACGAAUGGCGUAAUGAUGGCCAGGCUGUCUCCACCCGAGACUCAGUGAAAUUGAACUCGCUGUGAAGAUGCAGUGUACCCGCGGCAAGACGGAAAGACCCCGUGAACCUUUACUAUAGCUUGACACUGAACAUUGAGCCUUGAUGUGUAGGAUAGGUGGGAGGCUUAGAAGUGUGGACGCCAGUCUGCAUGGAGCCGACCUUGAAAUACCACCCUUUAAUGUUUGAUGUUCUAACGUUGACCCGUAAUCCGGGUUGCGGACAGUGUCUGGUGGGUAGUUUGACUGGGGCGGUCUCCUCCUAAAGAGUAACGGAGGAGCACGAAGGUUGGCUAAUCCUGGUCGGACAUCAGGAGGUUAGUGCAAUGGCAUAAGCCAGCUUGACUGCGAGCGUGACGGCGCGAGCAGGUGCGAAAGCAGGUCAUAGUGAUCCGGUGGUUCUGAAUGGAAGGGCCAUCGCUCAACGGAUAAAAGGUACUCCGGGGAUAACAGGCUGAUACCGCCCAAGAGUUCAUAUCGACGGCGGUGUUUGGCACCUCGAUGUCGGCUCAUCACAUCCUGGGGCUGAAGUAGGUCCCAAGGGUAUGGCUGUUCGCCAUUUAAAGUGGUACGCGAGCUGGGUUUAGAACGUCGUGAGACAGUUCGGUCCCUAUCUGCCGUGGGCGCUGGAGAACUGAGGGGGGCUGCUCCUAGUACGAGAGGACCGGAGUGGACGCAUCACUGGUGUUCGGGUUGUCAUGCCAAUGGCACUGCCCGGUAGCUAAAUGCGGAAGAGAUAAGUGCUGAAAGCAUCUAAGCACGAAACUUGCCCCGAGAUGAGUUCUCCCUGA